This 880-nucleotide ribosomal RNA is filed under the name uncultured bacterium. RNAcentral describes it as "bacterial SSU rRNA". It matches the Rfam family "Bacterial small subunit ribosomal RNA", at positions 1 to 887 of the family's 1533-position model. The record is from RNAcentral.
CCUUAGAGUUUGAUCCUGGCUCAGGAUGAACGCUAGCGGGAGGCCUAACACAUGCAAGCCGAGCGGUAUUUGUCUUUCGGGACAGAGAGAGCGGCGUACGGGUGCGGAACACGUGUGCAACCUGCCUUUAUCAGGGGGAUAGCCUUUCGAAAGGAAGAUUAAUACCCCAUAAUAUAUUAAGUGGCAUCAUUUAAAAUUGAAAACUCCGGUGGAUAGAGAUGGGCACGCGCAAGAUUAGAUAGUUGGUAGGGUAACGGCCUACCAAGUCAAUGAUCUUUAGGGGGCCUGAGAGGGUGAUCCCCCACACUGGUACUGAGACACGGACCAGACUCCUACGGGAGGCAGCAGUGAGGAAUAUUGGACAAUGGGUUAGCGCCUGAUCCAGCCAUCCCGCGUGAAGGACGACGGCCCUAUGGGUUGUAAACUUCUUUUGUACAGGGAUAAACCUAUUUACGUGUAAAUAGCUGAAGGUACUGUACGAAUAAGCACCGGCUAACUCCGUGCCAGCAGCCGCGGUAAUACGGAGGGUGCAAGCGUUAUCCGGAUUUAUUGGGUUUAAAGGGUCCGUAGGCGGAUCUGUAAGUCAGUGGUGAAAUCUCACAGCUUAACUGUGAAACUGCCAUUGAUACUGCAGGUCUUGAGUAAGGUAGAAGUGGCUGGAAUAAGUAGUGUAGCGGUGAAAUGCAUAGAUAUUACUUAGAACACCAAUUGCGAAGGCAGGUCACUAUGUCUUAACUGACGCUGAUGGACGAAAGCGUGGGGAGCGAACAGGAUUAGAUACCCUGGUAGUCCACGCCGUAAACGAUGCUAACUCGUUUUUGGGUUUUCGGAUUCAGAGACUAAGCGAAAGUGAUAAGUUAGCCACCUGGGGAGUACGUUC